This 333-nucleotide unclassified non-coding RNA is filed under the name soil metagenome. Its description in RNAcentral is "partial contains 5.8S ribosomal RNA, internal transcribed spacer 2, and large subunit ribosomal RNA". The stretch from base 1 to 120 matches the Rfam family "5.8S ribosomal RNA", at positions 35 to 154 of the family's 154-position model. The record is from RNAcentral.
GAUGAAGAACGCAGCGAAAUACGAUAAGUAGUGUGAAUUGCAGAAUUCAGUGAAUCAUCGAAUCUUUGAACGCACAUUGCGCCCCUCGGUAUUCCGUGGGGCAUGCCUGUUCGAGCGUCAUUUACCCCUCAAGCACUGCUUGGUGUUGGGCGUCUGUCCCGCUUCGCGCGCGGACUCGCCCCAAAGGUAUUGGCAGCGGUCGUGCCAGCUUCUCGCGCAGCACAUUGCGCUUCUCGAGGCGGUCGAUCGGCGUCCACGAAGCUCACCUCCACCGUUUGACCUCGGAUCAGGUAGGGAUACCCGCUGAACUUAAGCAUAUCAAUAAGCGGAGGA